ACUCCUACGGGAGGCAGCAGUGGGGAAUUUUGGACAAUGGGCGAAAGCCUGAUCCAGCAAUGCCGCGUGAGUGAAGAAGGCCUUCGGGUUGUAAAGCUCUUUUGUCAGGGAAGAAACGGUGAAAGCUAAUAUCUUUUGCUAAUGACGGUACCUGAAGAAUAAGCACCGGCUAACUACGUGCCAGCAGCCGCGGUACUACGUAGGGUGCAAGCGUUAAUCGGAAUUACUGGGCGUAAAGCGUGCGCAGGCGGUUUUGUAAGUCUGAUGUGAAAUCCCCGGGCUCAACCUGGGAAUUGCAUUGGAGACUGCAAGGCUAGAAUCUGGCAGAGGGGGGUAGAAUUCAACGUGUAGCAGUGAAAUGCGUAGAUAUGUGGAGGAACACCGAUGGCGAAGGCAGCCCCCUGGGUCAAGAUUGACGCUCAUGCACGAAAGCGUGGGGAGCAAACAGGAUUAGAAACCCUGGUAGUCCCAUGA
Molecule: ribosomal RNA, 474 nt
Filed under: uncultured organism
Description: partial 16S ribosomal RNA
Rfam family: Bacterial small subunit ribosomal RNA
Source: RNAcentral